CUCAAAUUUUGAAAAUGACGUCAUGUGCGCAUACGCGGACGUCCCUAGUAUACAUUCGGCUUAACUUGCAGGGUUGUCUUGGCAAAAGGGUUCUUUAAUUCCCGCCUUUUUUAUUUUAAAUUUAGUCAGUUAUUUUCAAGCUGUCUCCUGAUUAUUUUCACCUGUAAAAGCCCUGAAUAAUUAGUCCUGCUGUACCGCCUGCAGACUAACAACACAAACAGGUAAAAGAGUAAAAUAAUCAUCAUUUACUGUUAAAAACAUUUUGAAAAUUUAAGUUUUGUGUGUUCUUAUUGUACUUUAUUUCUUUUAUAACAGGUCAACUUUAUACUGUAAGCUUCAUUCACUUUAUUACAAGCUUCAUACUUUUUAAAAUGAUGUUUCGUAUGUGAGGUAAUCUUUCUUAUGCUGGGAGUGAAGGCAGUGUGUAUGACCGCUUGAUAUUAGAGACACAUCCUGUUUUUAAAGGUGAAUUGUGAGUGAAGCUUUGAAAAGUUGGAUAGCUGCAGGUCGGCUGCAUUGGCUUGAUAACAGUGGUUUAUGUUAAUUCAGUGACACAUUCAAGGAUCCAAAUCUUGUUUGGCCUGAUGCUCAACCUUGUACAGUCCACCAAAUGAUGACCACUGCAAGGUGAUGUGAAUCUGGGGUAAUCACAACCUGUGUCUUAAGAUCAACAUGACAACAGCAGACCAUCUAUUUUCUUACUCUUAUCUGACUAAAUGUUCAACUUCAUUGACACAAAACAAAGAACAUUGGAUGGAGCAUGUACUGUACAAUGAUCCAGCAAACAAAAUAAUAUGGACUUUUUUGGCUAUAGCUUCUACAAACAUUGACACAAUAUUGAGUUUUAUUUUUACAGCUAGUAAUGUAUUAUUAACAUCCCAUUCAUAUGUAUUCUAUGUCGUCUAUCUGUUUGUGCUAAAAUGUAUACAUCGGUAAUGUCAUAAUAUGUUGAUAUUCAGUAUUGAUAAUCAUUUGCAUGUUUUGAUGUUGCAUAUGUCAUGAUUUUAUUGAUUUCAUGUAAUUGUUGUCUAUUUAGAAUGAUUGUCUUUGCCAAAUGUAAUUGUUUAUUUAAUAUUGAAGCAGUUAUUUAACAUCCUCAACAAACGGUUAUGUGAAUUUUUAGAAAUGAAUAAAAUCUUGGUGGAUGAAUAGAAUGGAUUCAGGAAAAAAAGAGCAUGCAUUGAUCACAUCUACGUUCUGUCCUCAGUGGUGAGAGCAAGGCUGCAGGAAGAUAAAAGUAUUUUUGUUUGUUUUGUUGAUUUUAAAAAAGCUUUUGAUUGGA
Misgurnus anguillicaudatus (oriental weatherfish) is the source of this 1282-nucleotide non-coding RNA. The record is from RefSeq and is a predicted model, not a curated record. Lineage: Eukaryota; Metazoa; Chordata; Actinopteri; Cypriniformes; Cobitidae.